Phymastichus coffea is the source of this 381-nucleotide long non-coding RNA. RefSeq lists it as uncharacterized. NCBI's taxonomy places the organism in Eukaryota, Metazoa, Arthropoda, Insecta, Hymenoptera, Eulophidae. The record is from RefSeq and is a predicted model, not a curated record. The transcript is spliced from 3 exons.
GAGGAUCGAGAGGAUGCAGCGUUUAGCGUGGCACCGAACGACGCUCGAGUUUUGCUCGUGACGAACCUGCGGCUUAGCACGUGGCCAGCAGCCACACGGGCGAUAGAUCGCUGCAGUGUAGUGCAGCAGCAGCAGAUCAACGUGCACAGCCCCUUUUUUACUAGUAUUUCCGACGUGAACGAGGAAUUUUUUGUUUCGUGACAGCCUGACGAAUGAAUUUCUGAUACGAUUUGUCAUCACGUAGAAAAUCCUGUGACGCUUGAGUCACAUCUUGGUAAUGAAGAAGAACUGAAGAAGGAAAUAGGGAAGCACAUGUGGCGCAAUUAAAAGUCAUCAUGGAGAAUCUCACACAGCGAAAUCGUACAAUUAACGAAAGUCGGC